GGUCAUGGUGUCUCUUCACAGCAAUAGAAACCCUAACUAAGACAAUUAGCUUGGCUCCUGUGCAAGGAUGACAGGCAAAUUUGUGAGGCAUUCCAUAUUUAA
This 102-nucleotide small nuclear RNA is filed under the name Neotoma lepida (desert woodrat). Lineage: Eukaryota; Metazoa; Chordata; Mammalia; Rodentia; Cricetidae. The record is from RNAcentral.